This 153-nucleotide unclassified non-coding RNA is filed under the name Chaetomium grande. Its description in RNAcentral is "partial internal transcribed spacer 2". Lineage: Eukaryota; Fungi; Ascomycota; Sordariomycetes; Sordariales; Chaetomiaceae. The record is from RNAcentral.
CAACCAUCAAGCCCCCGGCUUGUGUUGGGGACCUGCGGCUGCCCGCAGGCCCUGAAAACCAGUGGCGGGCUCGCUGUCACACCGAGCGUAGUAGUAUUAUCUCGCUCAGGGCGUGCUGCGGGUUCCGGCCGUUAAAAAGCCUUCAUAACCCAA